AGAGAGACUACUGACGAACCUCCAGAACUCUGCUGGAACCACAAAACUGAGCUCCGUGUUUCAGGCCUGGAACUUAGGAUGGAUCGUGUAGAGGUGAGAGAGGGUCGGAGCGUCACACUGAACUGCAGUACCAGCUGUCCUCUGCCUAACAACACAAUCUACACCUGGUACUUAAACAGUCAACCUCUGGACCAACCAGAGAACCCCAAAAUACUGAAACUAGACCAAGUCAGCAGUCAGGAUGCAGGAAACUACUCCUGUGCUGUCAAAAGCGGUACAAAAAACAUUACAUCUGGUGUAAAAACUCUGACUGUAAAUACUAAAAGGAAAAGGCAGCAGAAGCAGCAUCAGCGGCCGUAGCAGCAGCAGCUGCAGCAGGAGUCUGUGCUCUUCUCCUGGCUAUCACACUUCUGGUUGUCUUCUUUUGGAUUAGAAAACAGAGGGCUUCGGAUCAAUCUCCUAAAGAGGAAGCAACAGACAACACAGAGCAGCUAAACCCUGAUCCUGUGUAUGAAAACAUCUUAGCUCGACCAGCAGAGCAGGAAGGGCUUCACUAUAGCAGAGUCUACUUCUCUAGGAGCCAGGCAGAACCUCUUUACUCCACCGUCCAGCCACAUCAGCCCAAUCGACAGCAGCAUGUGGCUUAUUACACCAGCAUUGAGUGAUCAUCUCUUACCAUUACAACUGAUUCAGGAUCUACUUAGUGGCCUUACUCAUCUUGAUCAGUGGUAAUAUUUUCAACAACCAGCAUUUCAAGUUUUUUUUCCGCCCUCCAUUUCACUUCACUCCAUGCUAAUGUGGACCAGGAGUUCCUUAAAAGUACUGAGCCUCCCGAACAAAAGCUAAUCACUUUGAAAAAUUUGUCAGAAAAAAAGGCAAAGUGACUACUCAGCUAGCACGGAACAGUGCAUGUGCUAAAAAUCUGCACAACAAAGAAACAAUGUAAAAAGCGGCCUCAGUGACACCAUCACUGUUUGUUUCUACAAAACACCAAAUGACACAAUAUGUAUAUAUAUAUAUAUAUAUAUAGCCAAUCAUAUACAUCUGCAUACAUAUCUGCCAGUGCGGUAUUUACAUAUAAAUGGCUUUGGUAUAUUUGCGAAUGGUUUCAGGCUAAGUUGAUCUCUUCACUAAACAAGUUGCCAGAGUUUUGACCUCUUCAGACUUUUUUCUCUUCUCCAUACACCUUGGUAGUAGGAAGUUGAGCCAGAAUACAUACUCUGCUUCUACACAGCAACAACUUUUCAGUUUUGGACUUUUCACUGCAUCAUCCACGGAGAGCAGCUGGUGUCCAGAAAGCUGUAUUCAGACCACGUUAUGACAGGAUUUCUCACUUUGUGUACUUUUAAAUGAAAUGAUUUUGGAAGAGAAGCAUAAGGACCAUCCUGUGUUCCAUAACACCUACUGGAUUUUAGAUGUGUUGUGGAUUGUUGACAGACAGUUGGAAGGAUUUAAAACUCAUAUACAGGAAGCUAAUACGCUUGGGAGUGACGUAUGUAUUUGUGAAUGUAUUUUGUGUUUUGUAUUUACUGUUUAAUUGUUUAAAGGACCCCAUCAAAAAUGAGAUGAUUAAUCUCAAAGGGUUAUCCUACUAAUAAAUACAUCUAAAUACAUCUAAUAAUUCCAUGUUGUAAAGGUGAAAAGCAGCCGAUUGUGUACAUUGAUACUGUCAAUGCUGAAUCAUCACAGUUUUAAAGCAAUGUUAGUGUCAGGUUAAGUUGCUUCUCAGGGGCUGAUUGAACAGACUGACCACACCUGCUCUAUUGUACAGAUAACUUGAAAUGAGGUCGUAAAUAGAUUGAGUAAUGGCACUGCCAAAUGUAACGUGGCUUUGUCAGGUAAGCUCAUUGAAGCGUUUUUGUUUUCUGCUAUGUUGUAUUGCUAUUGAUUUUAUUUGUAACUGUAAAAAAGGUUUUUGUAACAUGUUCUACCCUGCAUUAUCUAAAGUGUAUUAAAACAUACUAGAUAUUA
Perca fluviatilis (European perch) is the source of this 1971-nucleotide long non-coding RNA. RefSeq lists it as uncharacterized. The record is from RefSeq and is a predicted model, not a curated record. Lineage: Eukaryota; Metazoa; Chordata; Actinopteri; Perciformes; Percidae. The transcript is spliced from 4 exons.